GCUCUGGUGGUGGAAUUGGUAGACACGCCAUCUUGAGGGGUGGUGGACACAGUCCGUGCGAGUUCAAGUCUCGCCCAGAGCACCA
RNAcentral lists this transfer RNA (85 nucleotides) under Mannheimia haemolytica. Its description in RNAcentral is "tRNA-OTHER". It matches the Rfam family "tRNA". Rfam says of the family: Transfer RNA (tRNA) molecules are approximately 80 nucleotides in length. Their secondary structure includes four short double-helical elements and three loops (D, anti-codon, and T loops). Further hydrogen bonds mediate the characteristic L-shaped molecular structure. tRNAs have two regions of fundamental functional importance: the anti-codon, which is responsible for specific mRNA codon recognition, and the 3' end, to which the tRNAs corresponding amino acid is attached (by aminoacyl-tRNA synthetases). tRNAs cope with the degeneracy of the genetic code in two manners: having more than one tRNA (with a specific anti-codon) for a particular amino acid; and 'wobble' base-pairing, i.e. permitting non-standard base-pairing at the 3rd anti-codon position. Lineage: Bacteria; Pseudomonadati; Pseudomonadota; Gammaproteobacteria; Pasteurellales; Pasteurellaceae. The record is from RNAcentral.